AUGUCUGGAAUGGGAUGUCUUGUUUUGCCCCAAUCUCAUGGACUUCUGUCCAUAAGGAAAAUCCAGUCAGGGUUUUCUAAAUUUUCCUCAAAUUUUUUUUUUUUUUUUUUUCUGAAAACAAAAAAAUUAAACAAAUAAAUUCGGUAAGUAAAAUAGCUUGCCGAAGUUUUCACAGUAUCUCACAACUAGUGAAAGUCUUCAUGUUCCUGAUCUUUCUUCCUGUCAGAAAUAGGGACACACUUACACAGCAUACUUUACCCCACAGAGCCUUCAUUUUUAUCUGAUGUUCUGCCAGGCAUAUAAAACUGGUUGAACUUUAGCUUCAUUAAUAUUCACCUUGCUCUGGUCUUUCUGAAAACAGAUUCUAUGAGAACUUAAUUAUGCUGAAUAGUAUUAAACUUGAGGUAGAGGACAAGGUUUCCAGGAUAAAUUAAAGAUGGAAAACUGUAAGUUAAAUUAACUUCAGUUUUUAUAUUUUGUUUCAGAGUUUAUUGAGAUUUUAAUAAUUUAAUAUAUGUUGAAUCUUCAAAGGUAUAUAACCUUCAAAUAUAAUGAACCACAGAAUUGUGUUCUACUUUGAGAAUCUUGAGGAACUACGUUUUUGCAAAACGUAAUUUAUAAAAUUGUUUUCUUUUAUUGCACAAAAGGCACAGUAUUCUAAGAAUCAGAUUAAUAACAUACCUUGUAACUUAUCUUUCUGCCAUUUCUGAGAUUGAAAGAAAGUUUCGUGGUAUAUAGAGUGCUCAUAAUACUUGUAGGAUUGCAUUGGCAUCAACCUAGCUAUAAAAGUUUAUUUGCCGGGCGCGGUGGCUCAAGCCUGUAAUCCCAGCACUUUGGGAGGCCGAGACGGGCGGAUCACGAGGUCAGGAGAUCGAGACCAUCCUGGCUAACACGGUGAAACCCCGUCUCUACUAAAAAAUACAAAAAACUAGCCGGGCGAGGUGGCGGGCGCCUGUAGUCCCAACUACUCGGGAGGCUGAGGCAGGAGAAUGGCGUGAACCCGGGAGGCGGAGCUUGCAGUGAGCUGAGAUCCGGCCACUGCACUCCAGCCUGGGCGGCAGAGCGAGACUCCGUCUCAAAAGAAAAUUUUUAAAGGAAAUUUUUAGUAAAAAGAGAAACUGCAUACAAUGCAAUUUACCUGGUUUUUUUUUCUAAUACAGCAUUCAGUAC
This 1170-nucleotide long non-coding RNA is filed under the name Macaca mulatta (Rhesus monkey). RNAcentral's name for it is "lncRNA (ENSMMUG00000059071.1)". Lineage: Eukaryota; Metazoa; Chordata; Mammalia; Primates; Cercopithecidae. The record is from RNAcentral.